AAUAAGUACAGUUUUGCACUAUUCACGUUCAACGUUUGACCGUCCGUCUUAUUUGAAAAAUUUGUGAAAAAAUUAAAAACAUUUAGUCACACAUAAAGUAUUAUUCAUGUUUUAUCAUCUAAUAGCAAUAAAAAUAAUAAUCAUAAAAAAUUUUCAAAUAAGACGGACGGUCAAACGUUGAACAUAAAUAGUGCAAAACUGCACUUAUU
This 209-nucleotide microRNA precursor is filed under the name Oryza nivara. Its description in RNAcentral is "MIR812 microRNA precursor family". It matches the Rfam family "MIR812 microRNA precursor family". Lineage: Eukaryota; Viridiplantae; Streptophyta; Magnoliopsida; Poales; Poaceae. The record is from Rfam by way of RNAcentral.